CAGCGGAGAAACAGCGUGACAGAGAAGUUCAAACGCGGGGGAAAUGCAGUCAACCCAUAAACAGGAAGAGAAAAAAAAAAAAGCCCAGCUCCCAAGGCAUGUCCUGCCCUUAAUCACCACGCGCUCAGCUGCCCCCGUGCCGCUGUGCUUUCCCCAUUGGAGGCAGUGGAGGUUUUGGUGGCUUGUCCUCGGCUGAGCCUUUGCCCCCUGGUAGCAAGCAAGCUUUCAGGUACCUGCAUCUGCAGCAGCAUCUUUGCCUGCAGAGCAUUUCUAGUUUCCAGCUUGGUGCUGUAGAGAAGUUGGUUUUGUGCCAUCACGCUUCAGGUUUGCUCAUCGUGGUGGUUGCACAUCCCGCUGCGUGUGUGCAUGUAGGGAGGUGGGAUGCUUAGUGCUCCAACGAGCUGGUGCUUGCUGCCUGUGCCAUCCCGGGGGGACGGACCCCUUCCAUUUAGUGCCCAAAGAAAGCUUUCUGUUGGGCUCUGGCACUGUGGUGCAAGGCAAUGGCUGCUCACACUCUCUUUUGGUUGGAUUUCUGGGAUUUUGAGAGAUUUUGUGCAGUAAUUUUUUUUUAGGAAUGAAUGCAUUGAAUUCAGCCUUGUGCAAGGGCUGUGAUUUUAGAAGUGUUGGGGGCACCGUGACAGGAAGAUGAAAGCCAGGAUAAUAGGUUUUCUAGCAGAUUUUGCACACACGUUGCUCUUUUUUUUUUUUGCAAAUAUCGCCACCAAUGGCACCAUUGGAUGGGUUCAAGCAGUGAGCUGGGGAAUCAGGUGGGGAUGGAGCAGGAUGCAUUUCACCAUGCAGUUACAGACCCUCUUCUUCCCAUCCCAGCAGCCUCACAAGGCUGGCUGGAAGCAAACGGUGGUGUGAAAGGAGCGGGGAUGGGGUGGACGAGGCUGAGGGCUGCUGGCGGAGGAGCUGGAGGGCUGAGUCAUGGCCCUGCGCCGUGCCAGCACUGCCCGCGCCGCUGACUUCAGCGCCUGAGAGAGUUCUCCGUGUUUCUCCCUCUUCCCUUUCGGCACAGGAAUCGUUACUCAUUCCGCACACAAUGCCAGCGUUAAGGAAGGAGUGUAAAUGUAAGUCUCAUGAAGCUCCGUGUUUGCUUCGACCCGUGGACCAAAACAGUUGUUUCAGUCAUGCUUACAUCUAUGCAGCACAGCUCAAAAGCACCAUCUUCCUUAUGAGCCCAUCAUUAACUCAGGAGGAAAGAUACAGAAAUGCCUGCAAACAGCUCCCAAAAUGA
RNAcentral lists this long non-coding RNA (1240 nucleotides) under Anser brachyrhynchus (Pink-footed goose). RNAcentral's name for it is "lncRNA (ENSABRG00000000743.1)". The record is from RNAcentral. Lineage: Eukaryota; Metazoa; Chordata; Aves; Anseriformes; Anatidae.